RNAcentral lists this ribosomal RNA (224 nucleotides) under uncultured Staphylococcus sp. RNAcentral describes it as "partial 16S ribosomal RNA". It matches the Rfam family "Bacterial small subunit ribosomal RNA", at positions 141 to 355 of the family's 1533-position model. Lineage: Bacteria; Bacillati; Bacillota; Bacilli; Caryophanales; Staphylococcaceae. The record is from RNAcentral.
GANUAACUUACGGGAAACCGGAGCUAAUACCGGAUAAUAUAUUGAACCGCAUGGUUCAAUAGUGAAAGACGGUUUUGCUGUCACUUAUAGAUGGAUCCGCGCUGCAUUAGCUAGUUGGUAAGGUAACGGCUUACCAAGGCAACGAUGCGUAGCCGACCUGAGAGGGGUGAUCGGCCACACUGGAACUGAGACACGGGUCCAGACUCCUACGGGAGGCAGCAGUA